RNAcentral lists this long non-coding RNA (2137 nucleotides) under Sus scrofa (pig). RNAcentral describes it as "lncRNA (ENSSSCG00060030126.1)". The record is from RNAcentral. Lineage: Eukaryota; Metazoa; Chordata; Mammalia; Artiodactyla; Suidae.
UGGCAGGCAUAUGGAGAUUCCCCAGGCGAGGGGUCGAAUCAGAGCUGUAGCUGCCGGCCUACACCCCACAGCCACAGCCAUAGUCACACAGGAUCUGAGCCACCUCUGCAACCUACACAGCAGCUCAUGGCAAUGCCCAAUCCUUAACCCACUGAGUGAGGCCAGGGAUCGAACCCACAUCCUCAUGGAUACUAGUCAGAUUCAUUAACUGCUGAGCCAUGACAGGAACUCCUCUUUGUUUUUUGUUUUUUGUUUUCUUUUUAUAGCCACACCUGCAGCAUAUGGAAGUUUCCAAGCUACGUGUUGAAUCGGAGGGAGCUGCAGCUGAGGCCUAUACCACAUCUUUGACCUAUGAUGCAGCUUGCAGCAAUAUGAGAUCCUUAACUCACUGAGCAAGGCCAGGGAUCAAACCUGCAUACUCGUGGACACUAUGUCAGGUUCUUAACCCACUGAGCCACAUCGGGAACUCCACAUUUCUUGAUUUUUAUGAGUAUACUAUGGUUAUGUAGAAGUGCUUCUUUAUUUUUAGAACAUGGGCACUGAAGUAUUUAGGAAUAACGGAGGCUGUGUUGUCUACAAAUAACCCUUAAAUGUUUCAGCCAAGAAACCCUUUAGAAAACUGCAUUGUGGGUUGAAUUGUGUCCUCCAAAAGAGAUAUGCGGAAGACCUAAAACUACACCAGUGACCGUGACAUUAUUUGGAAAUGGGGCCUUUGCAGAUGUAAUUGGGUUAAGUUGAGGUCAUAUUGGGUUAUGGAGGACCUUGGCUAUAAUGACCAGUGACCUUAUAGGGAGAAGGAGACAUGGGGACACAGGGACACACAAGGUAGAAGACCACCUGAUGGCAGAGGCAGAGACUGGAGUGAGGCAGCUAUAAGCCAAGUGACGCCAAGGAUUCUCAACAAACACCACAAGCUAGAUGACAAGCAUGGAACAGAGUCUCGCUCUGAAUCCCCAGAGGGAACCCACUCUGCCGUUCUGUUAUUGGCAGCCCUAGGAAACUAGUACCAACCUGUUGUUUGCUUGCUAUUAACACCAGCAUCUCAUAUGUAUGGUUUGCUAGACCUGAAUAUUAUUAUUAUUAUUAUUAUUAUUAUUAUUUGCUUUUUACUGCCACACCUGCAGCGUAUGGAGGUUGCCAGGCUAGGGGUCCAAUUGGAGCUACAGCUGCGGGCCUACACCACAGCUCACAGCAAUGCCAGAUCCAAGCCAAAUUUUCAAUCUAUACCGCAGCGCACAGCAAUGCCAGAUCUUUAAUACACUAAGCGAGGCCAGGGCUUGAGCCCACAAUCUCAUGGUUCCUAUUGGAUUCAUUUCCUCUGCACCAUGACGGGAACUCUUAGACUUAAAUAUUCUAAAAGAGCAACCAAAUAGGUGAAAAUGCAUUGCAAUGUACAUAUAAGAAAAAUGUGUCAUUUUUCUGCGUACAUCUCUUUUCAAUCCUCCUGUAGAGCACAUUUACAUGACCUGUGAGUUACCAUCUCACUGUUAAAAUACUAUGUGAAGGAGUUCCUGUUGUGGAGCAGCAGAAACGAAUCCGACUAGGAACCUUGAGGUUGUGGGUUCGAUCCCUGGCCUUGAGCAGUGGAUUAAGGAUCUGGCGUUGCCAUGAGCUGUGGUGUAGGUUGCAGAUCUGGAGCUGCUGUGGCUGUGGUGUAGGCCGGCAGCUACAGCUCCGAUUAAACCCCUAGCCUGGGAACCUCCAUAUGCUGUGGGUGCAGCCCUUUAAAAAAAAAAAAAAUUACUAUGUGAAAAUUCAGAUUAUCUGGUAUGCUAUUUUUAACUUAAAUAAUAACUAUACAAAAACACUUUCUGAGGAGUUCCCUGGUGCCUCAGUGGGUUAAGGAUCUGGCAUUACUGCCAUGGCUCAGGUCGCUACUAUGGCGUGGGUUCAAUCCCUGGCUUGGGAACUUCUACAAGCCUCAGGCUUAGCCAGAAACAAACCAAAAAACCGAAAAACCAAAAAAAAACCUCUUUUUCCCUAAUAUGGAAGUUCCUGAGCUAGAGGUCAAAUAAGAGCUGUAGCUGAGGCCUCUGCCACAGCCAUGGCAACACUGAAUCCGAGCCGAAUCUUGCGGCAACACUAGAUCAUUAACCCACUGAGCAAGACCAGGGAUUGAACCUGCAUCCUCACAGAC